RNAcentral lists this ribosomal RNA (503 nucleotides) under uncultured Lachnospiraceae bacterium. RNAcentral describes it as "bacterial SSU rRNA". It matches the Rfam family "Bacterial small subunit ribosomal RNA", at positions 18 to 507 of the family's 1533-position model. The record is from RNAcentral. Lineage: Bacteria; Bacillati; Bacillota; Clostridia; Lachnospirales; Lachnospiraceae.
CCUGGCUCAGGAUGAACGCUGGCGGCGUGCUUAACACAUGCAAGUCGAACGGAGUCAUCAUUUUUGAAGCAAUUAGCUUGCUAAGAGUGGAAAUGUUGAUGACUUAGUGGCGGACGGGUGAGUAACGCGUGGGUAACCUGCCAUAUACAGGGGGAUAACACUUAGAAAUAGGUGCUAAUACCGCAUAAGCGCACAGUAUUGCAUGAGACAGUGUGAAAAACUACGGUGGUAUAUGAUGGACCCGCGUCUGAUUAGCUGGUUGGUGAGGUAACGGCCCACCAAGGCGACGAUCAGUAGCCGGCCUGGGAGGGUGGACGGCCACAUUGGGACUGAGACACGGCCCAAACUCCUACGGGAGGCAGCAGUGGGGAAUAUUGGACAAUGGGGGAAACCCUGAUCCAGCGACGCCGCGUGAGUGAAGAAGUAUUUCGGUAUGUAAAGCUCUAUCAGCAGGGAAGAAAAAAAUGACGGUACCUGACUAAGAAGCCCCGGCUAACUACGUG